RNAcentral lists this long non-coding RNA (627 nucleotides) under Junco hyemalis (dark-eyed junco). RNAcentral's name for it is "lncRNA (ENSJHYG00000012811.1)". Lineage: Eukaryota; Metazoa; Chordata; Aves; Passeriformes; Passerellidae. The record is from RNAcentral.
AAGCCAAAGUCAUCUUCCCUCACAGAUAUUGAAUCCCAAGCAAUAUACCUGGGAGAUGCCUCAAAAUUAGAGGUUCAAGCAGGAUGAAGUUUGGAACUUUCCAGGGAGCCAGCUGGAAGUGCAGAAAUGACAGAAAACUUUUGCAGAACGGGCAGGAGCUGAGAGCAGGAGGGGCGGAAGCGGCAUGGGGAAGUGCCGGGAGAUGAGGCUGCUACAAUGUCACCUGAAUUGGGAGAUGAGGCUGCUGGAAUGUCACCUGAAUCGGGAGAUGAGGCCGCUACAAUGUCACCUGAAUCGGGAGAUGAGGCCGCUACAAUGUCACCUGAAUCGGGAGAUGAGGCCGCUGCAAUGCCGGCUGAAUCGGCUGGAAACUCCUUCCCUGCAGGAGCCAGAGCAGAUCCCUCCUGGCCAGGCUGGUUGGCAGCCGCUGGAUCUGCUCUGGGGUAGAACCCCCUGCCCUGCCAGCAGCCCCGACUCUGCUUUCCCUCCCCGCUCCUGAGGGUGUCAGCGCUGCCGUGAGGGAGCUCAGACCCAAAAACCCCACAGCCCACAGAGUGAACGAUCCCAACAGGGAAAUGCGGUGUUGUGAUAAAAAUUCUGUUAAAAAGGCUGUGACAGCACUGUAAU